UAUCUUCAUAUGCAUAUUAAAGUUGAGGUUUUCCUGCUAUAAAAGCUGACAUAGGAUCAUACGGGAUAUUACAAAUUACUCUGUUUAUUUGUGGAUUGAUGUGGAUUGUAAAUGAUAUUUACAAUUUUGAUGAAAGUAGCAUAAAUUAUGAACUCCACUGUGGAAGGAUGCUCUCAUUCUGAAAUAAUAAAAACAUGCACAUUAUCAUUGAGAAUAUGCAUUCAUUAACUCAUUCUUACAUGAUCAUGCCUGUCCUUUUGAUGAGUGGGAAGCUUCAUUUACAAACUCUUCUAUGCUUCCAAGAGACAUCAGCUCUUUCAGACCAUGAGUUCUUGAUUCUAUGCCUUGGCCUCUUAAUCUUCUCAUUGUGGCCUCCAGAUCUGGCAGACUUGAUUGAAAUCUUGUGAAAGAUUUUGUUGACAAUGUUUUGCUAAAAUAAUAAGAGAUAGAUUGAUGUUAUUGAUUGAUUCAUGGAGCAGACACAAAGAUGACACUCUCUUUGAAAUAAACAGAAGAUAAUCUGCCAAUAGAGCUGCCCAGUUCUUGGAAGUAGUGCGCCAGAAACAACGUAUGAGUAAGGUUAUAUGUUUUCGCCGCCUAGACACAUCAUCUGUCAUAGACAGUACUACAUGAUAGGUCAAGAAGUUCAUGACUCAUUUUUUAUAGCUAUUUCUGGCCAACUAUUUUAAAGAAAUUUACUUUUACUUAUUAUGUAUACUGUACUAUUGGACUUCCACUUCCAGUUUAUGAGGUAAUUCUGACUGUGUAUGUGUGCUUUAGCU
Molecule: long non-coding RNA, 782 nt
Filed under: Androctonus crassicauda
Lineage: Eukaryota; Metazoa; Arthropoda; Arachnida; Scorpiones; Buthidae
Source: RNAcentral